This 253-nucleotide ribosomal RNA is filed under the name uncultured bacterium. RNAcentral describes it as "partial 16S ribosomal RNA". It matches the Rfam family "Bacterial small subunit ribosomal RNA", at positions 524 to 776 of the family's 1533-position model. The record is from RNAcentral.
UACGGAGGGUGCAAGCGUUAUUCGGAUUCACUGGGUUUAAAGGGUGCGUAGGAGGGCAGGUAAGUCAGUGGUGAAAUCUCCGAGCUUAACUUGGAAACUGCCGUUGAUACUAUCUGUCUUGAAUAUUGUGGAGGUGAGCGGAAUAUGUCAUGUAGCGGUGAAAUGCUUAGAUAUGACAUAGAACACCAAUUGCGAAGGCAGCUCGCUACACAUAUAUUGACACUGAGGCACGAAAGCGUGGGGAUCAAACAGG